CUCUUAAUUGAAAUAAAUUUAAUAUUAAGUAAGGCCUGCCCGGUGAACUAUUAAACGGCUAUUUAAUAAUACUAAGGUAGCGUAGUAAGUUAUCAUUUAAUUAAUGAAUAUAAUGAAGGUUAAAUGAAUUAUUUUCUGUCUUUAAAGAAUAAAAUUAAAUUAAUUUUUUAGUGAAAAAUCUUAAAUAAAUUUAAAAGACGAUAAGACCCUAUAGAACUUAUCUAAUAUUUAGAUUUACUGGGGUAGUAAGAAUAAAAAAGUAACUAUUCUUUAAUUUAUAAACUUAUAGUUUUUAUAUCCAGCGUUGAUUAAAAAGUUACCUUAGGGAUAACAGCAUUAAUUAUAUUAAAAGUUACUUAUUUAAAUAAUUUUUAAUGACCUCGAUGUUGAAUUAAGAUAAAUUAAUAAAGCAAACGUUUUAGUAAAUUAGGUCUGUUCGACCUUUAAAAUCUU
RNAcentral lists this ribosomal RNA (453 nucleotides) under Dactylothrips sp. 448. RNAcentral describes it as "partial 16S ribosomal RNA". Lineage: Eukaryota; Metazoa; Arthropoda; Insecta; Thysanoptera; Phlaeothripidae. The record is from RNAcentral.